Long non-coding RNA from Oryzias melastigma (Indian medaka), 859 nucleotides. RefSeq lists it as uncharacterized. The record is from RefSeq and is a predicted model, not a curated record. Lineage: Eukaryota; Metazoa; Chordata; Actinopteri; Beloniformes; Adrianichthyidae. The transcript has 3 exons.
CUGCGACUAAAGUAUUUGGCUGCACAUAAAAGUGUUCCAGAACGCUAUAAAGGCCGACCCACACCUCUAAUUUUCCCCCCGCUCGUUCUUUAGAAGUGACAUUCCUCUCUACCUGUCCACAGGUUGACGUGACAGGGAUGACUGUAAUCAUUGUGUGCUCUGAAUCCUGAUAUAUCAGAGGGUACUAGCUGACAGCACAGGAAAACCCCAAAUACCAACAACAGAAAAAAUGGAUUCCUGACCCUUCGAUUGGGGUCAAGAAGCUUCCAUCUUCCUGACAGUGUUUUACUGUUUGACAUGCGGCAGGAAGUACGCUCCUUACGUACGUUAGGAAAGGAAAGGAGAGGAAAGAAAGCCGUCGGCGUGUGGAAAUGACUUAGCUGGACAAAACUCCACCCACUUCCAGAUGACUUUUUUCCCCAUUUGGAGAACUCACCUUUGAAGGAGAGAUGGACCCGCGGAGGAGACUGCAGGCCCCAGCCUCUGUAAACACACAGGGCCAACAGGAGGAGCUGGGCUCCAGAUGCUGUCAUGGUAACAGUCAUGCAGAAAACCUGGAUGGAAAGAAGAAGCAGAUGCCAAUCAAUGAUUCCCCCCUGGCUCUACCUUCACUCUUUCAGCAAAGCACGUCUGUAGACUCUGAGGAGCUGAUGAGUGAAAAACAUGACAGUUCAAAGGAGCGGGGAGCACGCGCUCAAACAAUCCCUGACAGUUUAGGGGUGUUGAAAUGUAGCCGAACUGUUAGACCUUAACUCAAGCAUUCAUUAUGCAUUUGCACUUUGCUGGAGAGGAUCCCAUAUAAAUUAUGAAUACUAAAAGCUGAGUCCAUAACAUCCAUUAAAUUGUCUUUCUCAAGGUG